RNAcentral lists this ribosomal RNA (497 nucleotides) under uncultured bacterium. RNAcentral describes it as "partial 16S ribosomal RNA". It matches the Rfam family "Bacterial small subunit ribosomal RNA", at positions 28 to 507 of the family's 1533-position model. The record is from RNAcentral.
GAUGAACGCUGGCGGCGUGCCUAAUACAUGCAAGUCGAGCGAACGGACGAGAAGCUUGCUUCUCUGAUGUUAGCGGCGGACGGGUGAGUAACACGUGGAUAACCUACCUAUAAGACUGGGAUAACUUCGGGAAAUCGGAGCUAAUACCGGAUAAUAUUUUGAACCGCAUGGUUCAAAAGUGAAAGACGGUCUUGCUGUCACUUAUAGAUGGAUCCGCGCUGCAUUAGCUAGUUGGUAAGGUAACGGCUUACCAAGGCAACGAUGCAUAGCCGACCUGAGAGGGUGAUCGGCCACACUGGAACUGAGACACGGUCCAGACUCCUACGGGAGGCAGCUGUAGGGAAUCUUCCGCAAUGGGCGAAAGCCUGACGGAGCAACGCCGCGUGAGUGAUGAAGGUCUUCGGAUCGUAAAACUCUGUUAUUAGGGAAGAACAUAUGUGUAAGUAACUGUGCACAUCUUGACGGUACCUAAUCAGAAAGCCACGGCUAACUACGUG